GAUGGACAAGGGGGAAGACGAGGAAGACGAAGAGAAGAAGGUGGAUGAGGACUUGUGCACGGUAUACCCGUGGUGGUUAUCGGUGGUUGUUGGAGGUGAUUGGCGGUGAUUGAAGGUGUUCGGAGUUGGACGAGGAGGAGGACGAGGAAGACAAGGAGAUGAAGGUGGACGAGGAUUUGUGCUCGGUAUAACCCGAGGUGGUUAUCGGUGGUUGUUCGAGG
This 221-nucleotide long non-coding RNA is filed under the name Neodiprion pinetum (white pine sawfly). RNAcentral describes it as "uncharacterized LOC124222168". The record is from RNAcentral. Lineage: Eukaryota; Metazoa; Arthropoda; Insecta; Hymenoptera; Diprionidae.